This 488-nucleotide unclassified non-coding RNA is filed under the name Hevea brasiliensis (rubber tree). The record is from RNAcentral. Lineage: Eukaryota; Viridiplantae; Streptophyta; Magnoliopsida; Malpighiales; Euphorbiaceae.
GGAAUCACACCAGAAGAUAUUUAUAUCAGUUUCCAAACACCACAAUUAAAAACACCAUCCCCAUCCCACACCACGCAAUCGUUCACAAAUCCAACAGCUAUUAAUAUUCUGCCUUGUAAAUGAAAAUUGUUUACCAGGACAAUAUUGCAUACAUUUGUUUGCCUUAUAUUGCCUAAAAGAGAACUUACGGAUAACAAGGCAACAUGAUGGAAGUUCAAAUCGGCAAUAACGUAAACAAAAGGAAAACGCGAGUGUUCACAAUGAGAGAGAGAGAGAACUGGACAAAGGACAAAGCUCAAAAACACAGAUACACAUUUAUAAGGGCAGUUUCUUUAGUUUGCGCCAUCUUUAUAUACAUUGUCUGCUCAGACCAUCAAUGCACACAAGAUGUGUGAAAGGAGUUGCAUAAACUCCACAAUACAAUAUGACCAAUCUUUAAAUAAGCUCUUCAGCUUUCUAGUAAACAAUACCUGCUCAAAGUGCCAUCU